Non-coding RNA from Xylella fastidiosa 9a5c, 77 nucleotides. The record is from Rfam. NCBI's taxonomy places the organism in Bacteria, Pseudomonadati, Pseudomonadota, Gammaproteobacteria, Lysobacterales, Lysobacteraceae.
UUGAGCCGUAUGAGGGGAAACCUUCACGUACGGUUCUUAGGGGAGGAUGUGGUGGCGACGCCAUGUCCUUACCCGAC